GGUGGCGGUGCGUGGACAGGCGGUGGCGGAUGCAUCGCUGAUGAAGGAGAAUGAGGAGCUGCGAUCAGAGUUAACGAAGAUGAAGAUGUAUAUGACGGACAUGCAGAGGAGCCAGGGAGGAAGUGGGAGCAAGGGGGCUAAGAAGGCAACGUUUUUGUCGACGGUGUCACGGUCGUUCAGUAAGCUUAUCGGCCGGGUUGGGACGAAAGACACCACGAAUAUCGAGGAUGGCGGGGCUUUGGUU
RNAcentral lists this unclassified non-coding RNA (244 nucleotides) under Hevea brasiliensis (rubber tree). Lineage: Eukaryota; Viridiplantae; Streptophyta; Magnoliopsida; Malpighiales; Euphorbiaceae. The record is from RNAcentral.